RNAcentral lists this ribosomal RNA (607 nucleotides) under Bacillus subtilis. RNAcentral's name for it is "bacterial SSU rRNA". It matches the Rfam family "Bacterial small subunit ribosomal RNA", at positions 557 to 1164 of the family's 1533-position model. The record is from RNAcentral. Lineage: Bacteria; Bacillati; Bacillota; Bacilli; Caryophanales; Bacillaceae.
GGCGUAAAGGGCUCGCAGGCGGUUUCUUAAGUCUGAUGUGAAAGCCCCCGGCUCAACCGGGGAGGGUCAUUGGAAACUGGGGAACUUGAGUGCAGAAGAGGAGAGUGGAAUUCCACGUGUAGCGGUGAAAUGCGUAGAGAUGUGGAGGAACACCAGUGGCGAAGGCGACUCUCUGGUCUGUAACUGACGCUGAGGAGCGAAAGCGUGGGGAGCGAACAGGAUUAGAUACCCUGGUAGUCCACGCCGUAAACGAUGAGUGCUAAGUGUUAGGGGGUUUCCGCCCCUUAGUGCUGCAGCUAACGCAUUAAGCACUCCGCCUGGGGAGUACGGUCGCAAGACUGAAACUCAAAGGAAUUGACGGGGGCCCGCACAAGCGGUGGAGCAUGUGGUUUAAUUCGAAGCAACGCGAAGAACCUUACCAGGUCUUGACAUCCUCUGACAAUCCUAGAGAUAGGACGUCCCCUUCGGGGGCAGAGUGACAGGUGGUGCAUGGUUGUCGUCAGCUCGUGUCGUGAGAUGUUGGGUUAAGUCCCGCAACGAGCGCAACCCUUGAUCUUAGUUGCCAGCAUUCAGUUGGGCACUCUAAGGUGACUGCCGGUGACAAACC